Molecule: RNA transcript, 1850 nt
Organism: Microplitis mediator
Lineage: Eukaryota; Metazoa; Arthropoda; Insecta; Hymenoptera; Braconidae
Gene name: fructose-bisphosphate aldolase-like
Exons: 5
Source: RefSeq, a predicted model, not a curated record
GGGGAUAGAAAAUUAUGAUUUAAUAAUUUUUUCUUGUCGAUUGGGUCAGUCGUCAGUUCCCCACAUCCAGGAGACGAGAUCAGUUCGCUUGCAACUGAUACUUGAUAUUUUUUAUAUUUAUUAAUUAUAUAAUUAAAUAAUCAAAUCAUAAUGGCUGCUGAAAAGUACGCGAAGGCAGACCCUGAGUUGAAAGCAGAGCUCAAAAAAAUAGCCGAGUCUAUUGUAGCACCUGGUAAGGGUAUUUUAGCAGCUGAUGAAUCAACAACGACAAUCGGUAAACGUUUGCAAGACAUAAAUGUCGAAAACAAUGAAGACAACCGCAAGGCUUAUCGCCAGUUGUUGUUUACAACCAACAAGGAUGUCAUCAAAGAGCAUAUCUCCGGUGUGAUUCUCUUCCACGAGACUUUGUAUCAAAAAGCCGAUGACGGAACACCAUUCGUACAAUUAAUGAAAGAGCGCAACAUAAUCCCCGGUAUCAAAGUAGACAAAGGUGUUGUCCCAUUAUUUGGAACAGACGACGAGUGCACAACUCAGGGUCUCGAUGAUCUCCAGGCUCGUUGCAUCCAGUACAAAAAAGACGGGUGUCAUUUCGCUAAAUGGCGCUGCGUGUUGAAAAUAAAAGGCAACACGUGUCCCAGUCGGUUGGCCAUUUUGGAGAACGCGAAUGUCUUGGCGCGUUACGCAUCCAUCUGCCAGAGCGCACGAAUUGUACCAAUCGUUGAACCAGAAAUUUUACCAGACGGUGAUCACGAUCUUGCUCGCUGCCAACAAGUCACUGAGGAAGUACUCGCUGCUGUUUACAAGGCACUCAAUGACCAUCACGUUUAUUUGGAGGGAACUCUUUUGAAACCGAACAUGGUCACUCCUGGACAGAGCUGCACCAAGCGGGCGACACCACAGGAAAUAGCAUCGGCUACAGUCAUUGCAUUGCAGCGCACGGUCCCACCAGCGGUGCCUGGAAUCACUUUCUUGAGCGGGGGUCAGUCUGAAGAAGAGGCUUCGGUUAAUCUCGACGCCAUCAAUAAGUACCCGGGUAAAAAACCAUGGGCUUUGACAUUCAGUUACGGCAGAGCUCUACAAGCUUCGGUUUUGAGAGCUUGGUCUGGUAAGAAGGAACAGGUCGCAGCUGGACAAGACGAACUUAUCAAGCGUGCGAAGGCAAAUUCAUUAGCUUGCCAAGGAAAAUAUCGAGCUGGUAGCAUUCCGAGCAAAGCCGCUAAUGUUGACUUGCACAUUAAAGCUCACACUUAUUAAUUACAAUAAUUACUGUCUACUCCACUUUAAUUACAAACUCUCGCACCCUAUCACUGCUCGCAAUACUCUAGACUUUUACUCUUUUUUUAAUUACUCCUUUUAUUUGAAAUUUUUUUUCUACAACAAUAUUUUAUUUUAACGCAAAUAGUGAAGCCUCACUUGGAAAAUAUGCCGGUGGUGUCUCUGGAGCUGCUGGUGACGCUGCAUUAUUUGUUGCUAAUCACGCAUAUUAAUUAAUUAAUUAAUUAAUUAAUUAAAUUAAUCGUAAUAUUAAUUACACACAAACAUUAAUAUAAAAAAUAUAUGAAUAGAAAUAUAUAAAUUUCUUCGUAAUAAAAAUCAAAUUUUUUUUUAGCGCCGAGUUACCAUGAAAAAAAAAAUUAAUAUGAUUAUUAUAUUUUUUAAUUAAAAAUAUUAAUUAAUUUAUGUUAAUUUUUUUUUUUUUAUUAUUAAAGUCAUUCAUAUUUUUUUUAAAUAAUUUAUUUAUGUAAUGGUUUUAAUUAGAGGCUUGAUCACAGUAUUGGAGUAUCGGAAAAAUAUGAAGUAAAUAAAUAUGAUUAUUAAAAAUAUGUUUAUUGACGUUAAUAAUAUAUAUA